GAAACUGCAAUGGAGAUAUCUACAUCGUCAUCUAUUAACACUCAUGAGGAUGUUGAGCAAGAAGUUAGCUCUCAGACUUUGAAGGUCCUGUGAAAUGAAGUGUAGGAUGAAGGUAUUGAUGCAUAUAUGGUAUAAUAAAAUAAAGUAGCGUUGGUUUCCUACUAUGAAUUGGUGAUUAAUGUGCAUACGUUAUUGCAUAUGAUGUGAGUUUUUAGAAACAAUAUUUUGAGAAAGUUGUAUUGUGGUCUCAGUUGGUUUAUUAUGCUUG
RNAcentral lists this long non-coding RNA (268 nucleotides) under Helianthus annuus (common sunflower). Its description in RNAcentral is "hypothetical non coding rna". The record is from RNAcentral. Lineage: Eukaryota; Viridiplantae; Streptophyta; Magnoliopsida; Asterales; Asteraceae.